Molecule: long non-coding RNA, 1680 nt
Filed under: Citrus maxima (pomelo)
Lineage: Eukaryota; Viridiplantae; Streptophyta; Magnoliopsida; Sapindales; Rutaceae
Description: long non-coding RNA (CMAX_LNC001141)
Source: RNAcentral
AACCAGACAAAAUUUGAAAAGCCACAAACGUUGUCAUCGAUGAUGAUAAUAAUAAUUAAAACAGUCAACUGGUCAACAGUUUUGUUGCUUGCUCUUGUUCGUUCGUCUUCUAGAUCCUUAUCGCGGCAAAACCACGAGCGUUCGGGGCUUUCCAGCACACGGUUUCUUUGACGACACGACAAUGUUAUUCUUGUUAAUAUUAGAAGAAAUUAGGGCAAUUCUGGGAUAAUGUUUUUACCUGGGCACGAGCUGCUCGUUCUUCGAAGCAGCUCAGUUCUAUUUCUACUUUAAUUAGCCAACGUUCUUUAUAUUCCUCAAAUUCAUUAAUUCUUUUCAGUGACCUUUCUUCCUCUCGGUGACGUGGCCAUUAGCGUCUUCCACUCCACUUCUUCAACUCGAACGUGGAGCAAAUAUUACUCUGUGCUCUUGACCAUGGUCUUACCGUGAGACCUAGCUGUCAUCUCCAUCGAAACGUCAAUUAUGGUGUGCCUUUGGGAACACGGAACACACACCCAAAUUUCAUCAAUCAGAAAACUCUCCAGCGCGGAUUAAAACGAGUGAAUCGUUUGUAGUACACCGAUCAGAGCAUGCCACGUCAGAUAUUGUGGGUCCUACUUAUUGCCGGCCAAUAAUGUUGUUUGUAGGGUGGUAAUCCAUUAGCAGGUGCUACGUCUCACACGUGAAAUAUUGAAUAUUACUUUUUUUUUUUUAUGAUAGGAGAUUAUUGCUCAAAUUACAACUCAUAUUAUAUAAGAGUAUAACUGAUAUGUACAAUCAUAUAUAUAUACUGAGACCUAUUGACAUUAAUGCUGAUAUGGCAUUGCUCAGAUUUUUGUAACCCUCUCAAAUAUUCGAGGGACGUCAAACUUCUAUCCUGGGAGAAAGACUGCCUUCACUCGAGCUCUGUGGCUCCAAGAAAGGAAAUAUAAAUAUUGAAUAUUACUUGGUGCUGCAGAUACCAGAUUUUAUUGGGUUACUAUAAGUCCCUUCACUACUUUAAGAGUGGUAACAUAUCAAACAACUUGUACAAGUGUCAUAAUUAAUCAUUUUACUAUUAUAUAUUUACAAAAUCUGUCAUCUUAUUUUGGGAGCUUUGACCUAUUUGCAUAUAUAUAAUUUAGUGGCAUAGUCACUUUUAGAAUCAUCAGGGACAAAGUUAAUUUAUUUAAAAGAAUUUAAUUUUUCUCGAGUACUUCUAAGUAAUUUUAGAUUUAACAAAUUAGUUAAAAGUAAUUUUGAUGAUGAAAAUAUAAUUUUAAACCUACCUUUUUGUAAAUUAAUCAAAGUUGGCGGGACAAAUUACAAAUUUUAUUGGGGUAAAUACAAUUUAUAGUUGUAAUUUAGAAAAUAUUUUUGAAAAUUUUAUGACAAGCGGGGGGCAGCUGCCCUUUGUGAUUAUUGGUUAGUGCUUCCUUCUUGUCUUUGUCAGCUCAUCUAGGCUUCCAAUCUCCAGGCUGGAGGCCAAUAGCUGGGCUUAUUGCUAUGCUUGCUUCCAAUAUUACUCGGCACUCGGCAGUCAUCCUCUCCAACAACCGUGCUCUUUGCUAUCGUGCUGUACAGUUGUUGUGCUCUCCUGUAGCCCCUGUCGUUUUCUCUCCUUUUUUUAAAAAAAAAUUUAUGAUCCUGUUGCAGGAUUUAUAGCACCAUCAUUUAUUCUUUGAUUUUUCACAUUUUUUGUAA